This 409-nucleotide ribosomal RNA is filed under the name uncultured eukaryote. Its description in RNAcentral is "SSU rRNA". It matches the Rfam family "Eukaryotic small subunit ribosomal RNA", at positions 567 to 990 of the family's 1831-position model. The record is from RNAcentral.
CCAGCAGCCGCGGUAAUUCCAGCUCUAAUAGCGUAUAUUAAAGUUGUUGCAGUUUAAAAGCUCGUAGUCGGAAGUCGGGCUCGGGCAGGCUGUCGGCCUCGGUUGGGCAGCUUGCUUGGGUCUUCUAGCUCGGGGGCCCCGUGCCAUUUAACCGUGGUGCGCGGGAACACGGGCCGUUUACUUUGAAAAAAUUAGAGUGUUCAAAGCAGGCCUACGCCUGAAUACACAAGCUUGGAAUAAUGAAAUAGGACUUUUUCCAUUUUAUUGGUUAUUGGAGAGAGUAAUGAUUAAUAGGGACAGUUGGGGGCAUUAGUAUUUCGUUGUCAGAGGUGAAAUUCUUGGAUUUACGAAAGACUAACUUAUGCGAAAGCAUUUGCCAAGGAUGUUUUCAUUAAUCAAGAACGAACAU